UCUAACAUCGAGUGAUAUUAAUUUUUUGUAUCUGUAAACUUCAGGCAAAAUGUAUCCUUCAAGCCCAUACAAAGGAUUUAUGUCAAUGUGGCUGUUCGACAGAGGAUGACCGGAGAUAUCAAGGUCAAAUCCGUCUAUAUAUCCAGCAAUUAUGUGUAAUAAUCGAUGUCUUUGGGUUGGGUCACCUCAUUAUUUGCAACCCUGUGGGCGUACAUAUAUCUUUACAGGAUGCUAGUGGACAGUACAUUGAGGAACUGGCAUUCGGGAGUUGGAUCAUUACGGUAGUCAUGGAGACUCACUCUGACCCGAGUGAAAUACUUAGUAUUGACCUGUAGACUGUUAUUGCAACGUCACAGCCUGAGUUUUUGCCAAACGAGGGUGGAAAACUAUGGAGAGCCUACAAUGCAAAUCAAAAACAGAUAGAGCCUACCCAUCGUUUGUAGAAAUGAUUCGAAAAAAUAUGUAAAAAUAAAAGAGAUAGUUCAGCUUCUGAAUCUUUACAGAGAGCGACAAUUAUGUUUUAUAAUACACCUCAGUCUUAACAUGUGAAAUGAGAAAAGAAUCUUGGAAAAGAAAAGAAGAAUAAUAAUAAUAAUCCUAAUAAUAAAGAAAGGAAGUUUUUCUUGCUGUUUAUGGUUCACGUCAAGAGAGGGUGCUGUAUACAUUGCAUUUUUUAAAAAAGUUUUGUUUAAAUAUUAAGAUAAGAGAAGACUACCUUUUUUGUUUGAGAAAGUCUUUUACUCUUUCAAGAAAAAAAAUUACAUUAAUUUUGAUAAUGUUUUGAAAUAAUAUAUUACUGUAUACUUAUGUAAACUAGCUCAUACUUUUUAGCACAGAUAUACC
Molecule: long non-coding RNA, 843 nt
Organism: Asterias rubens (European starfish)
Lineage: Eukaryota; Metazoa; Echinodermata; Asteroidea; Forcipulatida; Asteriidae
Exons: 3
Source: RefSeq, a predicted model, not a curated record